UUUUUUUUUUUUCUGAGAAUUUCAUUGACAUAUCUACUGUGUUUGUGAAGUGUAACUAGAUAUUUGAGUUAGGCAAUAGGCCAUUAAACUAGUAUUUAAAAAUGAAAAGUCACACACAUGGUUCCUGUGAUUUAAUUAAUUGCAGGUGUAGUUCUGGCUGUUCUGAAACACUAUGUAGACCAUACUGGUCCUGAACUCAGAGAUCCGUCUCCGCCUCCCUGUGUGCUGAGAUUAAAGGCAUGAAUACUAAGGCUAGGUCCUGUGAGUUCAAUGUUUGGGAAGUGGUAGGGUCCAAUGAGACAAGAUUGGAAUUAAGUGUUCCUCAUGUUUUUUCCAUGUUAGUUAAAACAUUUGCUUUUUCAAAUGUUAGGUCAGACCCUUUUCCUUGAAUGGCAGUUUCUCCUGUGGAAGCUUUUGAACCACCAGUCCUUAGUCUUUGCCAAAGUCACAGGCCCAGCAUUUGGAAAGUAGAACAGCAGACCUCAAAACCUCCAAUUUAGGAAAGACGCUGAACUACAUUUUGUCUUGCAGAUUUCAGUUUGUAGUGAGUUGGGCUCCUGUUGGGAGCUGGAGGAGGUGGGAUGGGGAAAUAGGAGUGCAGCUCCAGGUGAGCUUGUCUGUCCCGGGAGAGUACUGGAGGUUUCCCCUCUCGAUCCCAGAAGAGGUCCCCCCCUUAAUCUGUGUCCUUGGGAGGAAGCAUGAAAUUAAUUUGAAGACUGGUGACUUAGGCUUUAUGUAAAUAUAAUAACCCUCCCUCCCCCCCAAACGAGGUAUGAGGGGAAGCUUUCUGAUUUGCUUCUAAAAGUCAUUUUAAAAAGGGAUUUGCAAACAUGAUUGUAGCUUCCAAAUAAAUGACAAUUUUUAAAUCAUACUUGGGGUUUGAAUGAUGAGAAUUUUUGAGCAAAGCUUGGCCUUGUUGGCUAUUGAGUACAGUGUUCUAGAAAAGCCAUGUGGUGACUGUACUUAAUGAGGGAAGGAAACUGGAAGCACUCCUGUGAUUUGGCCUAAGAAAGGAAAUCAGUAGAAAGGGAGAGGAAGAAGGCAGUCACAGAAAGUGAUCACUCCUACUGACUGGUAAUUCAUUUUUAUUAGUGUAACAAAAAUUGAUUAUAGUCACUGAUUAUAGUAGUAACCACUUAGUAAAUAAAAUGCCAAGGGUAGUGAAAGAAUGCAUCGCAACCCUGAGUUUUAGAUACUAUGUAAAUGUUGGCUUUUAAUUGCCUGCUCUUUUUUUUUUUAAAGUGUGUCAACAGUUUUUUUCUUUUUAUUUAUUUAUUUAUUUAUUUUUAAAUAUUUAUUUAUUAUAUGGAAGUACAUUGUAGCUGUCUUCAGACACUCCAGAAGAGGGAGUCAGAUCUCGUUAUGGAUGGUUGUGAGCCACCAUGUGGUUGCUGGGAUUUGAACUCUGGACCUUCGGAAGAGCAGUCGGGUGCUCUUACCCACUGAGCCAUCUCACCAGCCCCUAAUUGCCUGCUUCUUGCUGCUGUCAUAGGUUUCUCUUGUAUUUUGCAUGCUGGGUGGAGCCUGGUGCCUGAAUUAUCUUUUACUUUCCCCAUAGGUAAUAGAAAACAAUUUAUAUAGAUUAUUUAAUGGUCUUAGAAAAGGAGGUGAGAAGCCGUUUUAAAGAACAGCUUUAGGACAGUUUAAAGAACUGUUUAGGAGUUUAUAUAGGAAAACUUAAAGCUUGAGGCUACGACUGUUCAUUUUAAUUGUUAGUAUUCCCUCUCUCUUUCUCCUGCUCAUUCAUUCAUUCAUUGAGACAGGUUGUCUCUGAAGAGCCCCUGGCUCAACCAGAAUUCACUGUAGACCAGCCUGGCCUCAAACUCAGAAACCUUCCUCCUGCCUCAUGAGUGCUGGGGAGUGUGGCAAUAUGCCCAGUUUAGUUUAGUAAUUUAACAAGUCAGUAGUCUUAAGAAAAUAGGGUUUUGUAUAUUUGUAGCCAUAUUAAUCAGGUUACCAUAGUCAAACAAAUAAGUUUUCAUACAUUUAAAACACAUGAGUAUAGAAAAGUUAAGGAAGUGGGGCAUAGCUAGGAAUUGAACUGAGGGCCUUGUACAUCCUAGGCAAGUGAUCUACCAUGGAACUAGAUCCAUCUGUAUUUUGAGACAAGGUCUCACUAAUUUACCUAGGAUAGCCUUGAACUGGCCUUGAAAUUACCACCCUCCAGUGACAGCCUCCCAAGCAGCUGAGUUUGGCCUGUUCAAAAUUGGAGGUUUUUCCCCCUAUUUUCUGGGAUCGGAGUGGUCAACAUAUGUAAUAUUUGACUCGUGUGGUGGUUCUGCUUUUGUCUUUCCUAAACUUCAUCGUGCUCAGAUUAGCUCAGUGGGGUCUAGAAUGGUGGCACACUACUUUAAACUACACUUAGAAGACAAGGCAAGAGGAUCUCAAGUUCCAGGUUAGCCUGAGUUAUGAAAUCCUAUCUGAAAACGACAAAUUAGCCAGGUGGGAUGACACAUACCUUCAGUCUCUGCACUCAGGAAGCAGAUGCAGGCAGAUGUCUGAGUUCUAAGC
Molecule: long non-coding RNA, 2511 nt
Filed under: Mus musculus (house mouse)
Lineage: Eukaryota; Metazoa; Chordata; Mammalia; Rodentia; Muridae
Description: long non-coding RNA chr11:75734558-75737069
Source: RNAcentral